CCUACGGGGGGCUGCAGUGAGGAAUAUUGGUCAAUGGACGAGAGUCUGAACCAGCCAAGUAGCGUGAAGGAGGACUGCCCUAUGGGUUGUAAACUUCUUUUAUAUGGGAAUAAAAUGUUCCACGUGUGGGAUUUUGUACGUACCCUAUGAAUAAGGAUCGGCUAACUCCGUGCCAGCAGCCGCGGUAAUACGGAGGAUCCGAGCGUUAUCCGGAUUUAUUGGGUUUAAAGGGAGCGUAGGUGGAUUGUUAAGUCAGUUGUGAAAGUUUGCGGCUCAACCGUAAAAUUGCAGUUGAAACUGGCAGUCUUGAGUGCAGUAGAGGUGGGCGGAAUUCGUGGUGUAGCGGUGAAAUGCUUAGAUAUCACGAAGAACUCCGAUUGCGAAGGCAGUUCACUGGACUGCAACUGACACUGAGGCUCGAAAGUGUGGGUAUCAAACAGGAUUAGAUACCCUUGUAGUC
Molecule: ribosomal RNA, 460 nt
Filed under: uncultured bacterium
Lineage: Bacteria
Description: partial 16S ribosomal RNA
Rfam family: Bacterial small subunit ribosomal RNA
Source: RNAcentral